ACUUUUGUUUUUCUCAGCCAAAGAAAAAUAUUAUUACUAGUGUUCUGGGGACCCUGACCGGGGACGGACAGGGGACCUAGGACAGGGCUGGACCCACCAAAAGU
This 104-nucleotide microRNA precursor is filed under the name Lotus japonicus. RNAcentral describes it as "miR11126 stem-loop (lja-MIR11126)". The record is from miRBase by way of RNAcentral. Lineage: Eukaryota; Viridiplantae; Streptophyta; Magnoliopsida; Fabales; Fabaceae.